RNA transcript from Cebus imitator (Panamanian white-faced capuchin), 1658 nucleotides. It is a transcript of the gene named protein ITPRID2-like, with no coding region annotated. The transcript has a single exon. The record is from RefSeq and is a predicted model, not a curated record. Lineage: Eukaryota; Metazoa; Chordata; Mammalia; Primates; Cebidae.
CCAUCUCCUUGCUUGGGAAUCAUAUCUCUUUAGUUAAAUCGACCAUUUUCAUCUCUCCAUCAUCUGUGAAGAAAGAAGAAGCCCCCCAGAGUGAGGCACCGGGCAUGGAGGACUGCCAUCAUGGAAGGACUCCUACCUGUUCACGGCUUGCUCCAGCACCAAUGUCUCAGUCCACCUGCUCCCUUCUCUCCAUCCACUCUGAGUGGCAAGAAAGGCCCCUGUGUGAGCACACAAGAACUCUGAGCACUCACAGUGUGCCCAACAUAUCAGGGGUUACCUGUAGUGCCUUCGCUUCCCCUUUUGGGUGUCCUUACUCACAUAGACAUGCCACCUACCCUCACUGAGUGUGCUCUGUGGAUCCUCCUUCAGCCAUAGAAAUGCAGUUGCGUAGAGUAUUACACGGUAUUAGAAACUCACUGCAGAAUCUUUCACAGUACCCUAGGAUGAGAGGACCUGAUCUUGCUGCUGCUCCAUAUAGUACUCAGAAAUCAUCUGUUCUACCUCUUUAUGAAAAUACUUUUCAGGAGCUCCAGGUAAUGAAGUGAAGCCUGAAUUUGUUUAGAACACAAAUGAUGGAUUUAGAAUUGGCAAUGCUGUGUCAGCAGAGCAUGGUUUAUCAUCACAUGACUGAGGAGGAAAGGUUUGAAUUUGAUCAGCUCCAGGGCUUGAGAAAUUCCGUCCGAAUAGAACUUCAGGACCUGGAACUGCAGCUGGAGGAGUGCCUGCUGGGCCUGCAGGAGCAGCUUCGUGCUGUGCGCAUGCCUUCACCCUUCCGCUCCUCCGCACUCAUGGGAAUGUGUGGCAGUAGAAGCGCUGAUAACUUGUCAUGCCCUUCUCCAUCAAAUGUAAUGGAACUAGUCACCGAACUGAUACAGGAACAGUCAUGCCUGAAGUCUGAAUUGGGCCUAGGACUUGGAGAAAUGGGAUUUGAAAUUCCUCUUGGAGAAAGCUCAGAAUCUGUUUUUUUCCCAAGCAACAUCAGAAUCAUCAUCUGUAUGUUCUGGUCCCUCUCAUGCUAAUAAAAAAACUGGAGUACCUUCCACUGCUUCAGUGGGCAAAUCCAAAACCCCAUUAGUGGCGAGGAAGAAAGAAUUCCGAGCAUCGGUGGCUCUAAUGCCAACGGCUCCUUCUAGAACAGGCUCUGUACAGACACCUCCAGAUUUGGGAAGUUCUGAGGAAGUUGAUGCAGCUGAAGAAGCCCCAGUGGUUAUAGGACCUAAAUCUGAAGUGGAAGAAGGGCAUGGAAAACUCCCAGUAAUGCCAGCUGCUGAGGAAAUGCAUAAAAAUGUGGAGCAAGAUGAGUUGCAGCAAGUCAUAUGGAAGAUUAGGGUCUAUCGUUGGGGAAAUCAGACGGGAAAUUGCAAGUGGACUUUUGGCAGCAGUAUCUUCAAGUAAAGCAUCUAAUUCUAAGCAAGAUAAUCAUUAAAUAGAAAUUAUAGGCUGACAUGGAUCCUAUUAGCUGUGUAAUACUGGAGUUACCAAUGAUAGGCACUAGUGGAGGUGUUACUUGUGCUUUGGAAGAUACUUGCUGCUGAACUGGGCUACUGUAUACAGUGUACAAUGUGUAUUUCUUCAAGUGUAUCUUUUAAAAAAACAUACAUAGAAACUUAGGCACUUUGCUAUUUCUUUUCUAAACUAUCAAAAACUGUAGCAGUUUG